Molecule: ribosomal RNA, 497 nt
Filed under: uncultured bacterium
Lineage: Bacteria
Description: partial 16S ribosomal RNA
Rfam family: Bacterial small subunit ribosomal RNA
Source: RNAcentral
GAUGAACGCUGGCGGCGUGCCUAAUACAUGCAAGUCGAGCGAACGGACGAGAAGCUUGCUUCUCUGAUGUUAGCGGCGGACGGGUGAGUAACACGUGGAUAACCUACCUAUAAGACUGGGAUAACUUCGGGAAACCGGAGCUAAUACCGGAUAAUAUUUUGAAACGCAUGGUUCAAAAGUGAAAGACGGUCUUGCUGUCACUUAUAGAUGGAUCCGCGCUGCAUUAGCUAGUUGGUAAGGUAACGGCUUACCAAGGCAACGAUGCAUAGCCGACCUGAGAGGGUGAUCGGCCACACUGGAACUGAGACACGGUCCAGACUCCUACGGGAGGCAGCAGUAGGGAAUCUUCGGCAAUGGGCGAAAGCCUGACGGAGCAACGCCGCGUGAGUGAUGAAGGUCUUCGGAUCGUAAAACUCUGUUAUUAGGGAAGAACAUAUGUGUAAGUAACUGUGCACAUCUUGACGGUACCUAAUCAGAAAGCCACGGCUAACUACGUG